CCUACGGGAGGCAGCAGUAGGGAAUGUUCGUCAAUGGGCGCAAGCCUGAACGAGCGAUGCCGCGUGAGUGAAGAAGGCCUUCGGGUCGUAAAGCUCUGUUGCGGGGGAAAAAAGGCAGCAUCAGGAAAUGGGUGCUGACUGAUGGUGCCCCGCCAGAAAGUCACGGCUAACUACGUGCCAGCAGCCGCGGUAAUACGUAGGUGGCGAGCGUUAUCCGGAAGGAUUGGGCGUAAAGGGUGCGCAGGCGGUCCUGCAAGUCUGGAGUGAAACGCAUGAGCUCAACUCAUGCAUGGCUUUGGAAACUGGAGGACUGGAGAGCAGGAGAGGGCGGUGGAACUCCAUGUGUAGCUGUAAAAUGCGUAGAUAUAUGGAAGAACACCAGUGGCGAAGGCGGCCGCCUGGCCUGUUGCUGACGCUGAGGCACGAAAGCGUGGGGAGCAAAUAGGAUUAGAUACCCUAGUAGUC
RNAcentral lists this ribosomal RNA (465 nucleotides) under uncultured bacterium. RNAcentral's name for it is "partial 16S ribosomal RNA". It matches the Rfam family "Bacterial small subunit ribosomal RNA", at positions 338 to 795 of the family's 1533-position model. The record is from RNAcentral.